This 117-nucleotide ribosomal RNA is filed under the name Heyndrickxia camelliae. Lineage: Bacteria; Bacillati; Bacillota; Bacilli; Caryophanales; Bacillaceae. The record is from RNAcentral.
UCUGGUAAUAAUGGCGAGAAGGUCACACCCGUUCCCAUCCCGAACACGGAAGUUAAGCUUCUCAGCGCCGAUGGUAGUUGGGGGCUGUCCCCCUGCAAGAGUAGGACGUUGCCAGGC